RNAcentral lists this ribosomal RNA (464 nucleotides) under uncultured bacterium. Its description in RNAcentral is "bacterial SSU rRNA". It matches the Rfam family "Bacterial small subunit ribosomal RNA", at positions 331 to 792 of the family's 1533-position model. The record is from RNAcentral.
CCAGACUCCUACGGGAGGCAGCAGUGAGGAAUAUUGGUCAAUGGGCGGAAGCCUGAACCAGCCAAGUCGCGUGAGGGAAUAAGGCCCUACGGGUCGUAAACCUCUUUUGCCGGGGAGCAAGGGCGGGGACGUGUCCCGGCCCGGAGAGUACCCGGAGAAAAAGCAUCGGCUAACUCCGUGCCAGCAGCCGCGGUAAUACGGAGGAUGCGAGCGUUAUCCGGAUUUAUUGGGUUUAAAGGGUGCGUAGGCGGAAUGCCAAGUCGGCGAUAAAAUCGCGGGGCUCAACCUCGCUCCGCCGUUGAAACUGGCAGUCUCGAGUUGGAGAGAAGUAUGCGGAAUGCGCGGUGUAGCGGUGAAAUGCAUAGAUAUCGCGCAGAACUCCGAUUGCGAAGGCAGCAUGCCGGCUCCACACUGACGCUGAGGCACGAAAGCGUGGGUAUCGAACAGGAUUAGAUACCCGCGUA